CAGCCGCCACGGUAAUACGGAGGGGGCUAGCGUUGUUCGGAAUUACUGGGCGUAAAGCGCACGUAGGCGGCUUGGUAAGUUAGAGGUGAAAGCCUGGAGCUCAACUCCAGAAUUGCCUUUAAGACUGCCGAGCUAGCAGGUGAGAGAGGUAAGUGGAAUUCCGAGUGUAGAGGUGAAAUUCGUAGAUAUUCGGAAGAACACCAGUGGCGAAGGCGGCUUACUGGCUCAUACUGGACGCUGAGGUGCGAAAGCGUGGGGAGCAAACAGGAUUAGAUACCCCCGUAGUCCCUGUCUCUUAUAC
RNAcentral lists this ribosomal RNA (301 nucleotides) under uncultured bacterium. RNAcentral's name for it is "partial 16S ribosomal RNA". It matches the Rfam family "Bacterial small subunit ribosomal RNA", at positions 509 to 807 of the family's 1533-position model. The record is from RNAcentral.